This 4254-nucleotide long non-coding RNA is filed under the name Ricinus communis (castor bean). Its description in RNAcentral is "long non-coding RNA (RCOM_LNC001041)". The record is from RNAcentral. Lineage: Eukaryota; Viridiplantae; Streptophyta; Magnoliopsida; Malpighiales; Euphorbiaceae.
AUAAAUUGAUGGUAUUAAUGUAAAUAUUGAAAAUUAUUGACGGUUGUAAAAAGAUUUGUUAUUUUUUUUUGAAAUAAAGGGAAUUUCAUUACAUCAAAUCCAAUAAAAAACCAUCAUAAAGGAAAGAAGGAGGACUAUCCCAUUCUUUCGGACCAAACAAAGAACCAGCUGCUCUAGGAAGAGCAUAUGGAACUUGAUUCGCUGAACUUCUAGCAAAAAUAAACUUAUAACACUUGAGCUCUUUGGAAAGAGUUAAACAAUCACUAAAGAUAAUAAAAGAAACCAUAAGAAUCUGAAUAGAGACAAUGAAGAGCAAGAGACCUCUUGUCGUUCAAAACCAUAGUAUUGCGUGAUACUAGAUAUUCCAACAAAGAUGCUGCCAUAUUCAACAUGUCCUUAUUUACCCACCUAACCAACUCACCCCCCCACUCACCAAAGCAAAAAACAGCACCAAGGUAAAACCCUACAGGUGAAGAUAACCAGACUUCCCUUGUGUAGGUUCACGCCACUAAUGCAUGUAAUUUGUCCUCAACCAAAAGAUUGCACCCUUCGCAUCAUCUAGAGACCUUAACUCCUCUCUAAUAAAGUCGGGCAUUGCAAGGUAAGCUGCCAGAGCAUGCCCUCCAAAUUAGAACACGAGCUCUAGAAGGAGCUUGCAACCUCCAGAUAGAAUUCCAUGGCAUAUGGUUAGUCAAAUUUAUAUACCAUCUUGGGAAUUGGCUAUUGGGGGGGAACAUGAGCCUACUACUAUUCUAAUGUAGAAAUAGAUGAACUAACCAGCUGAAGAGCAAGAGACCUCUUCUUGUUCAAAACUAUAUUAUUGCGUGAUACUAGAUAUUCCAACAAAGAUGCUGCCAUAUUCAACAUGUCCUUAUUUACCCACCUAACCAACUCACUCCCCCACUCACCGAAGUAAAAAAACAGCACUAAGGUAAAACCCUACAGGUAAAGAUAACCAGACUUCCCUUGUGUAGGUUCACGCCACUAAUGCAUGUAAUUUGUCCUCAACCAAAAGAUUGUACCCUUCGCAUCAUCUAGAGACCUUAACUCCUCUCUAAUAAAGUCAGGCAUUGCAAGGUAAGCUGCCAGAGCAUGCCCUCCAAAUUAGAACACGAGCUCUAGAAAGAGCUUGCAACCUCUAGAUAGAAUUCCAUGGCAUAUGGUUAGUCAAAUUUAUAUACCAUCUUGAGAGGUAUCUCGGAGGAGGCGGUAACCACUUUGUACUUAGGAAACGCCAUGUUUAUUAUGAAGCCAGACUAAUCCAUUAGGUAUACAUCGAAGGCUUAAGGGGAUACUGAUUGUUACAAGACACAUCUCUAGGCUCAAACAUGUCCUGCAAAAUAUUAAUGUUCCAACCACAUCUAUCAACUAGCUUUAAAGACCUUAUAGUAGAAUGUCCCAGACAUAGGGGUGGGAACGAGGCCACUCGAGUCUGGUCUUUACUCAAUAGCCAUGAAUUUGUCCAAAUGUUAACCGAAAAGCCAUCACCAAUACGAACACGAGCUCUAGCUUUUAAAAGACUUUGAGCUAACAUUGCACUUCUCCAUACAUAACUAGGAUUAGCAUUCAAUUUUGCUUCCAGAAAAUAGCAAGAUGGAUACUACCUUACUUUAUAUAUUUUGGCAACCAAGGACUAAGGAUUUGAGAGCAGAUGCCAGCCCUGUUUGGCUAGUAAAGAUAAGUUGAAAUCUUACAACUGACGAAAACCAAGCCUGCCAAUAGAUGGAUAACAUACCCUUUCCCAUCUCAUUCAUCGGAUACCAACAUUUGAUCCAUUAUCCCACCAAUAUGCAUUCAUCAGACGCUCAAAGUCUUCACAAAGAGAAUGAGGAGGGGCAAAAACAUUCAUGAUGUAAGUUGAAACAACCUAUGCUAUUACUUUUAACAAUAUCUCCUUACCAGCCCUUGAUAAGAACCUUUUAUUCCAACCAUGUACCCAUUGCAACACUUUUUACUUAACAAAUGAGAAGACGUCAGAUUUGUCCUGCCCAAUAAGUGAAGGCAUACCAAGGUACUUUUCCUUGCCCGUAUUAAGAGGGACCCUAAGUGUGGAACAGAUCCUAUCUCACAUGUCAAGAGAGACAUUGCCACUAAAGGAGACAAAUGAUUUUGAGAAAUUUACUACUUAACCCGAUGCUUGCUUAUAGAUUUUCAAACAUUUAAUAAUUCUGCCAUAUUCCUCUAAGUCAGCCCUGAAGAAGAAAUAGCUAUCGUUGGCAAAGAAUAAAUGUGGGAUAGUCGGUGCCGCCCUUGCCACUUUACAACCAUGAAUAUGACCAGCUCUCUCCAACCGGCUAAGCAUAUCUGACAGGACUUCCGGGCAGAUAAUAAAGAGGUAAGGCGAUAGGGGAUCGCCUUGAAACAAUACCUUCUAAGGAAUGAUCAGUCCCAUCUCUUUACCAUUAGUAACCACAGUAUAUGAAAUAGAGGAAACACACAUUAGAAUCAGGUUCACAAACUUAGCCUCAAAUCCCAGCCGAAUCAUCAUAAACUUGAGAAAAUCCCAUUCUAUUCUAUCAUAGGCCUUUGAUAUAUCAAUCUUUAAAGCAGCCACCCCAUGCAUCUCUUCUUUCUUGUGUUUAAGAUAGCGAUUUACCUCAAAAGUGAUCAUUAUGUUAUCCGUAAUUAGUUUUCUAGGAAUUGAGGCACUCUAGGAUUCGAAUAGAAUGUGGGGGAGAACUGCUUUUAGUCGGUUGGCCAAAACUUUUGCAACAACCUUAUAUACUACAUUUCAUAGCAAGAUUGAUCUCAGAUCAUACAUCUAUUCCACAUGCUUCUUUUUUUGGAAUCAACAUAAUAUAAGUGGCAUUAAGUUCAGAGGGGAGACUGCCGGUGUUUAAGAAUUGCAAGCAUGCUUCAGUUAAACCAUCGCUUGUUAAAUCCCAAAAAUAUUGGAAGAAAUUGGGGUUCAUUCCAUCCGGACCAGGAGCCUUGUCCUAAUGCACGGAGAAAAGGGCUUAUUUUACUUCUACUGCUUCGAAAGGCCGAGUAAGCUCAUUGUUUUGGUCUUCCGAAAGCUUCCUAGGAAUAUAGUCAAACUCAUCAGAUAUGAUACAACCCCUAGACUUGAUAAAUCAGUGAAGUACGAGGUGACCUGAUAUCUUUGAUAUUACACUAUAGAGAGGCUCUAUAGUCGUCUGAUGCAAUCUCCUACUCAAUAAACAGUCCCAAUGCUACUCUAACUGGGGAAUGCUCAUCAUAUAUAUAUGUCCCCCUAACCGAAAUGAAAUAGACUCUGGCUGAGACCAGACUCUAAUCUGAUUCUGGAGGAAGAAGGUGGAGGCAAACUCAAAUGUGAGCUCUCUGUAGGUAGGCUCCACUAUGCUGAAAAAGGCCUCAAAAGGCUGUGUCUAAAGAAGCUCUCGAACCACAGCAGCUAGUCCUACUAUCUCCAAUGCCUGCUAGUCUAUACAUCUCCCACAGCCUAACUAUUUGUACUGCAGCUGCUGGUAACGAGCCUCGUGAGUGGGGCUCUGAAACUGUAAAAGUCUGUGUCAUGCGGGAGCUGGAGCUCUAAGGGCAGGUGGAGCAGGUGCUUGAGGUGCAAGUGGUGCAGGCUGUACAGGCAGAAGUGGUCGCACAGGUCUAAAGGUCUCGCCUGUACGCUUUCUCUUGGAGACACCCGUCUUCCGAGGUCUCUCCUACUGAUCAGCUAUAGUACUUGCAUGGAAAUUAAUCAAAACUCUUGCCAAAACUGUAAUUCUAGCACCAAACAGACAACCAUUACAAUAACAGCAGCAGUUUAACAGCAAUUUAACAUCACAAGCACAUCUAUUACGCAACCUCAACACAUUUCAUCAUAGCAAAACUCAAAAUGAUAAAGCAUAAUAUCACAGCAGCAUAACACAACAUCACAGCAGCAUAACAUUUUCAUUAUGCAUUCCCAGCACACUCGCAUUAGUCAAUUUCCAAUUCAACAGCAUAAUGACUAAUUCAUCAAACCAGCUCAUAAUCCAGCAAGUUCAAACAUACAAAACAGCAGCAAUAGGGCAAGAAAAGAAGAAAUUAAAAAUAUGAACAAUAGUAACGAAUAAAGCAGAAUAAGGCAAUAAUAGCAAAUCAAAAUAAAAGAAACGCAAGAAACUCAACGAAACAACGAAUAAAAUUCAACAAAAGCGACGAAUUUAACAAAAUAGGAAAAUUAACAAGGAGAUUAAUGAAAAUAAGAAACAAUGAAAUUCACAGAAAUAACGAAGAAGAUAACAGAAGAAAAUCGAGGAAACAAAAGCAAUCAACAAAAAAAAUCGAGGUAGA